This 163-nucleotide ribosomal RNA is filed under the name uncultured bacterium. RNAcentral's name for it is "partial 16S ribosomal RNA". It matches the Rfam family "Bacterial small subunit ribosomal RNA", at positions 355 to 511 of the family's 1533-position model. The record is from RNAcentral.
UAGGGAAUCUUCCACAAUGGACGCAAGUCUGAUGGAGCAACGCCGCGUGAGUGAAGAAGGGUUUCGGCUCGUAAAGCUCUGUUGUUAAAGAAGAACGUGGGUAAGAGUAACUGUUUACCCAGUGACGGUAUUUAACCAGAAAGCCACGGCAACUACGUGCCAG